Mycena rebaudengoi is the source of this 102-nucleotide non-coding RNA. The record is from the annotation of a GenBank genome assembly. Lineage: Eukaryota; Fungi; Basidiomycota; Agaricomycetes; Agaricales; Mycenaceae.
GACCUAAUAGCGAAAUUGGUAUCGCAUCCACUACCGUUUAAAAAGAAACGAAAAAUGCAGCAGUUUCUGUGGAAGUCCCUCGUUCGAAUCGAGGUUAGGUCU